GACGAACGCUGGCGGCGUGCCUAAUACAUGCAAGUAGAACGCUGAAGCGAGGAGCUUACUCUUCUUGGAUGAGGUGCGAACGGGUGAGUAACGCGUAGGUAACCUGCCUUGUAGCGGGGGAUAACUAUGGGAAACGAUAGCUAAUACCGCAUAAGAAUGGGUGACACAUUUCAUUUAUUUGAAAGUGGCAAUUGCUCCACUACAAGAUGGACCUGCGUUGUAUUAGCUAGUAGGUGAGGUAAUGGGUCACCUAGGCGAGGAUGCGUAGCCGACCUGAGAGGGUGGUCGGCCGCACUGAGAGUGUGACGCGGCCCAGAGGCCUUGGGGUGGGAGCAGUAGGGAAACGGGGGGAAGAGGUGCAAAAUUGACCGAGCAAGGCAGCGGGAGGGAAGAAGAAUUUCGGGUCGGGAAGCUCGGUGUUAAGUCAGGAAAGGGUGUGAGAGUGGAAAGUUCACUCUGUGACGGUAGCUGACCAGAAAGGGACGGCUAACUACGUG
RNAcentral lists this ribosomal RNA (497 nucleotides) under uncultured bacterium. RNAcentral describes it as "partial 16S ribosomal RNA". It matches the Rfam family "Bacterial small subunit ribosomal RNA", at positions 28 to 507 of the family's 1533-position model. The record is from RNAcentral.